RNAcentral lists this ribosomal RNA (129 nucleotides) under uncultured bacterium. Its description in RNAcentral is "partial 16S ribosomal RNA". It matches the Rfam family "Bacterial small subunit ribosomal RNA", at positions 917 to 1045 of the family's 1533-position model. The record is from RNAcentral.
GGGCCCGCACAAGCGGUGGAGCAUGUGGUUUAAUUCGAAGCAACGCGAAGAACCUUACCAGGUCUUGACUUCCCUUUGAAAAGUAUAGAGAUAUACUCCCUUUUCGGAGCAAAGGAGACAGGUGGUGCA